GAGAGAGAGAGAGAGAGAGAAGGAAAAGGAUUAAGGGGGAAGAGAAAGAGGGGGAGGUGGAGGCCUGACUCACCUGCUGUGUCUCACCUGCCCUCGGCAUAAGUCGGGUUAAGUUGCCAUGUGUCUCCUUAAUAAUAACUGUCAAAAAUUACCAAAACACCUUGAUCGAUUUAGGGUCUAUAGCAGCAGCCCAACUAUAGUUCAGUUGGGUGGUCCUGCAGCCCACAGGGUAAUGGACAUGAAGGAAGGAAAGAAAAUACGGAGUGCCUGGAAGGAACACAGCGGGUCCUUGGGUUACGACGGUCUUGACCUACCACGUUUCGUGGUUACGACGUGGUCCCCACAAAUAAUUAAAUAAUUCUUGUUUCGACUUUCGACGUUUUCUUCGUAACUACAAACUUCGUGCAGAAACUAGUUUGUUGAUUGCGGUGGAAGAAUACAUCAUCACCAAGCGUUGCACUGAGGCUGGUGCGUUGUGUACAUUCUGAUCAUACACUACAGUCAUCCCUCAAAUAGUACGGGGGUUAGGGACCCAGGACCCCCAUACUAUUCGAAAAUCCGUAUAAAAUUAGUGCCCCCCCCUAAAAACAUUCCUGGGGCACUCCUACGGAAUUUGAGUCCCACCUGUCUGGCUCAGCUGUACCCACGUGCCCAAGUUGCCAGUUAUGCAUUUUCUGCUGCAGUCACAGUGUAGUGUUACCACGCUGGAGGGGUCGAGGAAGACUCAUCUGAUGGCAGUGCUUGUAAGAAAAGGAAAGACAUCACAGUGGAAGUGAAAUUUGACAUUGUGAAGUGAUUGGAAAAGGGAGAAAUGGCGAUGAACAUUGGUCAUGUGCUGAAUUCUUUUUGUUACUGUUUUUCAUUUUAUUAUUUUGCAUUUAUGGCCUAGAAGUGUUUUUCUUACAAAUAUUAACUAUUUAAUUAUGACUUUACUACUGCGUAAGCACAGGUUAGUGAUUUAAAUGCUUAUGGUACUUUGAUUUGAGGGUUGGGGCUGACAGUUCCUUCUAAUAAAGGGUGUUUUGGCUUCAUACAAAAUUGGGUUAUGAUGGUGUUGUAGGAACGGAAGUCCGUCGUAAGUCAAGGACCCCCUGUACAAGUUUCAGUACAAGAGGUGGAAGGAUUAAUGGAAGGUCUGGAUGUGAGAAAGGCAAUGGGACCAGAUAGUGUGUCAGGCUGGGUCUUGAGGGAGUGCAGUGAGCAAUUAGCUGAUAAGAUCCAAUGCAUCAUAGUCAGCUCACCAGCAGAAGGUAAGGUCCCAGCAGACUGGAAGUGAGCAGACAUCAUACCAAUUCACAAAGGAGGAUGCUGUGAAGACCCUGAGAACUAUAGGCCAGUUUCUUUGACAGGUGUGGAAGCGAAGAACUGUGAAAGGCUGAUUAAAGAUUUUUUUUUUUAAGCCCUAUGGCGCCGCUAGGCUUUCUUGGUGGGGACUGAUGGUCAUCCCCAGCCUAUUCCGGCACAGGCAGGCAUUUCUAGUGGCGCCACCUUACUUGGCUCAUGCUGCCCUCAGCUCAUCUUUGACCCUCUCUUUUUUAGAGAGGGAAUCUAGAGCCCAGGAUGAUCGGUGGUCUUCAGGACAGCAUGUGGGUAGUCCAGUGCCAUUCAGCAGUGACUGAAAAAUCCCAACUGUGGCAGUGGGGAGGACUAGAACCCGAGUCCGCAUGGACGAGGUGCCAGCAUGCAUGACUACCUGGAGAAAAAACAGAUUGAUGGACAAACAGUAUGGCUUUUGAGGAGGAAGAUCUUGUACAACAAAUAUAAUGUGUUUUUACUCACGAGUGAUAUACAUAGUACAGGAAAGGGAUGGAUAUGGCUCUUAACUCUUUCAUUGCACAUGGUAAGGGAGGCGACGAUCCCCCAGGCACACUCUGGCAGCCCGACGGGGGGGGUCUCUUUUAACCACUGUAUCUCAAAAACUAAUCAUCACAGCUAAAAAACAAAAACACCAUUGGAAAGAGGAGGCCCAGAUCUAUAAGAUUCAGUUAUGUAAGCCUCUUUGUGAACAUACAGGCACAUUAAGGGGUGUUGCCUGUUAACACUUAUGUCUGUGCGUGCGCGACGGCCAGCCAUAUUGAGGCAACUGAGUAGAUCUUGAUGGGUAUGCUGGCAGGGUAGUAUUGCCAGCUGCAAAAUUUACAACUAUUUGGUCAAAAAAUUAGUCAAGUGAUAGGUGAAGCUAUGCAAAAAUGCCGCUAUAUUGAACAACAACAUCUGCCAGUUAGUCAUCCGUAAAUUUUCCGUGCUAGGCUGAUACAGGUAUCUCUCGAUUUACGCGAGUAUUGUGUCCUUGAAGAGGUCGUGUAAAUCAAAAACAAUGUAAAUCAAACAAGAGGUAGAUUUCUAUCGAAAAUUAAAUAUUCACUUCAUUCAGUGGAGAGAGAGAGAGAGAGAGAGAGAGAGAGAGAAUAUCCAUAUCACCGAGAUAUCCACUCAGGCACUCAGUCUCAGCCUCACUUGUGUGAGGAAGAAAUGAGGGACACCAUGAGCGACUGGCUAGUAUUGGUACCAGUACCGAGCAGUCUGGUACCGGUUCCGUACCGUAUAGCUGGUACCACUAGUACCGGUUCUGGUACAGGUACCUGCCCACCCCUAUUGUUGAGUAGCGUGGCAGCGUGGGUACUGUACUGUUGUUCAAGUGGCGCGCAAGAGGAACUGAGCUCAGCUGUGUGGCUGUGGGAGUGACUGGCUAGUAUUGGUACUGGUACCGAGCAGUCUGGUACCGGUACUGUACUGUAUAGCUGGUGCCGGUACUGUACCGUAUAGCUGGUAACGUUAGUACCGGUAUCUGCCCACCCCUAUAAUGUUGAGUAGCGUGGCAGCGUGGGUACUGUAUUGUUGUUCAAGUGGCGCGCAGGAAGAACUGGGCUCAGCUGUGUGGCCGCGGCACCGUGUGAGUCCAGUUGCGUGAGACAUCUGGUGCCUACUUCAUAAAAUAUCGCGUAUAAGUGAAAAAGUGUGUAAAUUAAACAUUGAUUUGGAUUUUGGACCCCGCGUUAUUUCAAAAACGUGUAAACCAAACUCGCGUAAAUCGAGAGUUACCUGUAUGAUUUUCCACCAAAUUUAGUGGAAAACCCACUGAAUUGGCAAUGCUGUGGGGGUGAGAAGAGGCCCGUAAAAUAUUAUUGGAACACGCUCAUAUGCGGGAAAUUUAUGUGCGAUUGGAGGCCGCAGCAAGCGUUUUGCACCACCAGCAUAUGACGCUACCGCUCACUGCGAGCAUUUAGCAAUGAAAGGAUUUAGAAAGCAUUCAACAAGGUGCCACAUAAAAGACUUGUGCAAGGUGGAGCACAUCGGAGGACUUUUUAGAAAACUGGGAAAUGAGGACUGUGAUCAGGAAUGUGAGGUCCUUGUAGAGGAAAGUGACCAGUGGAGUUUCACUGGGGUCGGUGCUGGCUCUGGUCAUGUUUGCAGUUUAUAUCAAUGACAUGGUGGAGGGAAUGAACAGUUAUAUGAGUUUGUUUGGUGAUGAUGCCAAGUUACUGAGGAGGAUUGGAAGUGGAUUGUCAAGUACUGCAACAGGACCUGGACAGGAUAUGGGAAUGGAGUUGUAGAUGGGAUACAGAAUUUAACACCAAAAAGUGUAGUGUGAUGGAAUUUAGAAAAAGCAAAAAGAGAAUUUCAGGUUACUACACAUUAGGAAAUUAAAGUGUUUAGAAAACAUCAAUGGAAAAGGACCUGGGAGUAACUGUAUCAUAUGUAUUUGUCGCUGGAGAAACACUUUAAUAGAAUUGUAGGUGAGACACACAACCUGGUGAGAAACAUACAAGUUGCUUUUUAAUAUCAAUCCAGGGGUGUCGAGUCGGAACUUUUUUUCGGGUAUAAAAAGUUCUGACUCCGACUCCAGGAAAUUUUAAGGUUGUGACUCCGACUCUGACUCCAGGAAAUUUUAAGGUUGUGACUCCGACUCUGACUCCAGGAAAUUUUAAGGUUGUGACUCCGACUCUGACUCCAGGAAAUUUUAAGGUUGUGACUCCGACUCUGACUCCAGGAAAUUUUAAGGUUGUGACUCCGACUCUGACUCCAGGAAAUUUUAAGGUUGUGACUCCGACUCUGACUCCAGGAAAUUUUAAGGUUGUGACUCCGACUCUGACUCCAGGAAAUUUUAAGGUUGUGACUCUGACUAGGAAAUUUUAAGAUUGUGGAUGGAGGGGGGGAGGCAUGCAGUUAACAAGUUCAGAAGAGCAGUCAGCGUGGAAAUAUCGAUAGAAGAUAGAAAGAGAGGCAACAUUGCGGCGGAAUUUAAGAGGUAGAAGACUAUCAGUAUGAGGAGGAGAGCUGAUGAGACGAAGAGCCUUAGCCUCCACUCUGUCCAGAAGAGCUGUGUGAGUGGAGCCCCCCCUCACGAGAUGCAUACUCCAUACGAGGGCGGACAAGGCCCCUGUAUAUGGACAGCAACUGUGCAGGGGAGAAGAACUGGCGGAGACGGUACAGAACACCCAGCCUCGAGGAAGCUGAUUUAGU
Eriocheir sinensis (Chinese mitten crab) is the source of this 4464-nucleotide long non-coding RNA. RefSeq lists it as uncharacterized. Lineage: Eukaryota; Metazoa; Arthropoda; Malacostraca; Decapoda; Varunidae. The record is from RefSeq and is a predicted model, not a curated record. The transcript has 4 exons.